CUGCCCCGACGCUGGCCCCUCGCUCCACUUCGCGCAAACUUGUUUUUGUAAGAUUCGGACUUACCACGUCCUGAGUGAGGCCGUAGCACAUCUCCAACAAACUCCAGGGGAGGCUCAAGCUACUGGUCCCUGGACUGCACUUUGAGUAGCAAGGACAAAGGAAAGAGCUGACUAUAUCCAGCUGCUCAGGUUCAAGGCUGUCACUCCAGGCACUUGACACACCAUGCAGAACCUCUUGCCAAACCCAGGGCUCCAGCUUUGCAACUGUUAUCCCCAAAACCCAGAUGGGUCUUUCCCUAGCUCUGUGCAAGUGCCACUCUGUCCCAGCAUGGUGUGGAGCCCAAGGGUGGCUGGAGGACUCUGGAGCCAGCCAGCCCGGGGAGGUCCAGCUUCAAGCCCUGCCAGGUACAGGUGGCUGGAAAGAGGGCAGAGCAUUUCACUUGUCUGUCAUUCAGUUUCUCACCUGGAAAAUGGACAAACAAUAUAGCCUCUUUAUGGGGCUGUUUUGAAGAUUCAGAGGAAUAAUAUGUAUGAAAAUAUGCACACAAGAGGUACUCAAUAAAUGUUACAUCACUUUCUUUGAUUUCUACCUGUUCCUUAA
Molecule: non-coding RNA, 601 nt
Organism: Heterocephalus glaber (naked mole-rat)
Lineage: Eukaryota; Metazoa; Chordata; Mammalia; Rodentia; Bathyergidae
Source: RefSeq, a predicted model, not a curated record